This 249-nucleotide unclassified non-coding RNA is filed under the name Hevea brasiliensis (rubber tree). Lineage: Eukaryota; Viridiplantae; Streptophyta; Magnoliopsida; Malpighiales; Euphorbiaceae. The record is from RNAcentral.
CAAAAUUAAAUUGAAUUUUUCAGCUAAUUCUUUCCUAGCGGUUGAACUCUAAUGAGAUUCGAAGUUUGUUGGCUGCGACCUCUCCGAGCUAUUUAGCAAACAGGAGAACAAGAGAUUUUGCCUCGCCGGAGAGAUAUGGAUAGUAGAGGCAAAGACAAGAGAAGAAGGAUCGAGAAAGAUUCCGAUGAAUCCAGGAAUAAAAAGGGAAAACAAGUAGUUGCGGAGGAGGCUACGGAGGAGGAAGUCGAG